UACUUGGAUACCUGUAAUAAUUUUAGAGCUAAUACACGCAAGCGGAGCGCAUUUAUUAGAACAAAACCAAUUUUGGUGAAUCUGAAUAACUCACAGUCUAGCACUGGCGACGUAUCUUUCAAGUGUCUGCCUUAUCAACUGUCGAUGGUAGUUUACAUGACUACCAUGGUUGUAACGGGUAACGGAGAAUAAGGGUUCGACUCCGGAGAGGGAGCCUGAGAAACGGCUACCACAUCCAAGGAAGGCAGCAGGCGCGCAAAUUACCCACUCUCAGUGAGGAGGUAGUGACGAAAAAUAACGAGACGGUUCUCUAUGUCAUCGGAAUGGGUACAAUUUAAACCCUUUAACGAGGAUCUAUUGGAGGGCAAGUCUGGUGCCAGCAGCCGCGGUAAUUCCAGCUCCAAUAGCGUAUAUUAAAGUUGUUGCGGUUAAAAAGCUCGUAGUUGGAUCUGCUCGCGUCCCGGUGUCCUGACAGGGUUCUUCGUUGGUUUCCCCUGGUCCUCUUGACUGAGUGCCUGGGUGACCAGCAAGUUUACUUUGAAAAAAUUAGAGUGCUCAAAGCAGGCGCGUAGCCUGAAUAGUGGUGCAUGGAAUAAUGGAAUAGGAGGUUCUAUUUUGUUGGUUUUCGGAGCGCGAGGUAAUGAUUAAGAGGGACAGACGGGGGCAUUCGUAUUGCUGCGUUAGAGGUGAAAUUCUUGGA
RNAcentral lists this ribosomal RNA (700 nucleotides) under Longicyatholaimus subtenuis. Its description in RNAcentral is "SSU rRNA". It matches the Rfam family "Eukaryotic small subunit ribosomal RNA", at positions 136 to 924 of the family's 1831-position model. Lineage: Eukaryota; Metazoa; Nematoda; Chromadorea; Chromadorida; Cyatholaimidae. The record is from RNAcentral.